UACGGGAGGCAGCAGUGGGGAAUAUUGCGCAAUGGGCGAAAGCCUGACGCAGCGACGCCGCGUGAGGGAUGAAGGUCUUCGGAUCGUAAACCUCUGUCAGAAGGGAAGAAAGCAGCGGGUGCCAAUCAGCCUGCUGUUGACGGUACCUUCAAAGGAAGCACCGGCUAACUCCGUGCCAGCAGCCGCG
This 187-nucleotide ribosomal RNA is filed under the name uncultured rumen bacterium. RNAcentral's name for it is "partial 16S ribosomal RNA". It matches the Rfam family "Bacterial small subunit ribosomal RNA", at positions 340 to 519 of the family's 1533-position model. The record is from RNAcentral.